Molecule: ribosomal RNA, 499 nt
Filed under: uncultured Glomeromycotina
Lineage: Eukaryota; Fungi; Glomeromycota
Description: partial small subunit ribosomal RNA
Rfam family: Eukaryotic small subunit ribosomal RNA
Source: RNAcentral
CCAAUAGCGUAUAUUAAAGUUGCUGCAGUUAAAAAGCUCGUAGUUGAAUUUCGGGACCAAUAUGUCGGUCGUGCCUCGGUACGUACUGGCAUCGUUGGUUUCUCCCUUCUGACGAACCAUGAUGUCAUUCAUUUGGUGUCGUGGGGAAUCAGGACUGUUACUUUGAGAAAAUUAGAGUGUUUAAAGCAGGCUCACGCUUGAAUACAUUAGCAUGGAAUAAUGAAAUAGGACGUUUGAUUCUAUUUUGUUGGUUUCUAGGAUCGACGUAAUGAUUAAUAGGGAUAGUUGGGGGCAUUAGUAUUCAAUUGUCAGAGGUGAAAUUCUUGGAUUUAUUGAAGACUAACUACUGCGAAAGCAUUUGCCAAGGAUGUUUUCAUUAAUCAAGAACGAAAGUUAGGGGAUCGAAGACGUUCAGAUACCGUCGUAGUCUUAACCAUAAACUAUGCCGACUAGGGAUCGGAUGAUGUUAAUUUUUUAAUGACUCAUUCGGCGCCUUACG